Molecule: ribosomal RNA, 497 nt
Filed under: uncultured bacterium
Lineage: Bacteria
Description: partial 16S ribosomal RNA
Rfam family: Bacterial small subunit ribosomal RNA
Source: RNAcentral
GAUGAACGCUGGCGGCGUGCCUAAUACAUGCAAGUCGAGCGAACGGACGAGAAGCUUGCUUCUCUGAUGUUAGCGCCGGACGGGUGAGUAACACGUGGAUAACCUACCUAUAAGACUGGGAUAACUUCGGGAAACCGGAGCUAAUACCGGAUGAUAUUUUGAACCGCAUGGUUCAAAAGUGAAAGACGGUCUUGCUGUCACUUAUAGAUGGAUCCGCGCUGCAUUAGCUAGUUGGUAAGGUAACGGCUUACCAAGGCAACGAUGCAUAGCCGACCUGAGAGGGUGAUCGGCCACACUGGAACUGAGACACGGUCCAGACUCCUACGGGAGGCAGCAGUAGGGAAUCUUCCGCGAUGGGCGAAAGCCUGACGGAGCAACGCCGCGUGAGUGAUGAAGGUCUUCGGAUCGUAAAACUCUGUUAUUAGGGAAGAACAUAUGUGUAAGUAACUGUGCACAUCUUGACGGUACCUAAUCAGAAAGCCACGGCUAACUACGUG